Molecule: ribosomal RNA, 253 nt
Filed under: uncultured prokaryote
Description: partial 16S ribosomal RNA
Rfam family: Bacterial small subunit ribosomal RNA
Source: RNAcentral
UACAGGGAGAGCAAGCGUUGUUCGGAUUUACUGGGCGUAAAGGGCGCGUAGGCGGCGUAACAAGUCACUUGUGAAAUCUCCGGGCUUAACCCGGAGCGGCCAAGUGAUACUGUUGUGCUAGAGUGCGGUAGGGGCUACUGGAAUUCUCGGUGUAGCGGUGAAAUGCGUAGAUAUCGAGAGGAACACCUGCGGCGAAGGCGGGUAGCUGGGCCGACACUGACGCUGAGGCGCGAAGGCCAGGGGAGCAAACGGG